UGUCAUUUUAAUGACCAAAUAAAAAGCAAUUUUUGAGUUCUUUAUAUCAAAGAGAGACGCCAUUAUUUUUGUAAUAUUUGCGAGGAAAUGCUUGUAUAAUCGUUAGAUGAAGAACCGCUGAACGGAACACUUGAACACCAAAAAAUUUAAGAAGCAUCAGUUGUCACUAGUAAAGUAACACAUUCUUUUAAAACUUUUAUUUAUUCCUAGGGUAAAAAAAAACAGCUGCAAUGGAAGGAAUAUUAGCAAAUCAUCCCAUAAUUCAUAAAGAAAGUUUUAGAAGCUUGGGUUGCACAAAUGCUCCAAGAAGACCUAACGGAUUUCUCACAGAACACAGUAGAAGUGCAUUUAACCAGAAAGUUCAUGCCUUUAAAGAACAUUGAAUAGAAGGAUGAUAUGAAAACAGCAUAUUUUGCUCAUCAGGUUUUAUUAAUAAAGAUUCAUAAAUCUGUUUAUCUACAUCUAUUUGUAAACAUCAAAAAAAAAAAAAAAAAAUUGUUUGACUCUUUUUUCUCUGAAUUCACAUUAGGUUAUUGGGUUUAAAUUUUUAAGUUUUAAUGCAAUUAUGUAAAAAUUUUAGAAAAGUUUUAGAAAACUAAUAACUGACUUAGUAGAAAAAUCAACAACUUUUAAAGAAAAAUGAAGAAAGUAAAAAAAUCCAAAGUAGCAAAAUUAGCCAAAAAUAUCUUUUAAAAAAGUUAUUUGGAUUGGAAAAACUUAAAAUUACUGUUGCAAAGAUGAAGAAUGGAAACAGCUGAUUAACUGAUAUGCAAUUACUUAGUUCAUAAUUAUAAUAUUUUAAUUGCUUCUGUAUGAAACUAAUUAUUUCAAAAUCAUGAUUCAGUUAAAGCGCUUUAACCUCCCACCCUUUUCUUCCUCUUAUCCUGGAAACGUUUAGAACAUUGCCAAAAAAUAAAUAAAAUAGAAGAAAGAUAGCCAUGUUUAUUAUGUUAUAAAGAAGCAACAAAGGAUUCAACUGAACUUUUAUUACUUUAUAAGAAACAACAAAAAAAUCAAACUUAAAUUUCAUUAUUUGAAAAAAGUAGAGAGACUUUCUGCUAGGAUUCCAACAAUUUAGCAGACAAAAUUAAAUUAGGUGCUUUAGCAAGAUUGUUAUACAUUUGUAAAAGUAGAAUUUACAGGGGUUUUAAGUGUUUCAUUCAAAAAAAGUAUGCAUUUGUUAUCUGACAAAAUGGUUCUGGUGGAAUUUCUCACUGUCUACCAUUGAAUCUAUUAUUAGACAUGCAAAUAAGUUAUCUAUUGAAUUACAGUUAGCAUGUUAAAGAUAUGGUUACAAAUUUCACUGUAAAGAUUUUUGGACAACUUUACAUUGAGAAAACUUAACUUUACUCCUAAAAAUCUCAUGUUUAAAGAGUUUCAAAUAAAUUAGAAUGCAAUAAAGGAUUCCAUAGAUAAGUCAAAGAUUUCAAAGUUUGAUAAAGCUGCAAAUAAUAAAAUAAGUUUAAAAAACAGAUUAAAAAAACUAUUCUAUUUUGAAAACAACCACUUGCUUAUCUACUCAUUUUAAGAGAUAACUUUAACUAGAAAAACUUAAACUCAUUAACUUUAGGCAAAUAUAAAUUUUGAAGUUCGUGCUUCAUCUGAUUCUCCAACACAUUUAAUUACAAAGUUUUUAUAUUAUUUGCAUAUCCGAGUUUUAAGUAAUUGCCUGUUAUAACAAUUGACAGCUGGUUUACAAAAAAAAAAAAAAAAAAAAAAAUCAGCAGAAUGGCAAAAAUUAAUAUUCUAUUUGUGAUUCUUUUUACUUUCUGCACAUUUUUAAGACAUCAAAACAUACUGACAGAUGGAACUGUAUAGAAAGUGAAAGAGCCUAAUAACCCAAGAACUAAAGAUGUGCUAUAGAGGAACAUUAAAAUCAAUAGAGAAACAUAUAGAGUAUUUAGAUAAAACCUUGGUGCUAUUAUUUCUCGCAGAUCCAGAACUUGGAGAUAACAAGUAAAAAAAAUUCCCUUAGUCAAAAACUAUUUUCUAUUAAUUUGUUUUUAGACAUCAUGAAAAGUCUGAAAAUUUAAAUCUCCUAAAUGACCUAGACUUUACUUUUUUGGUCGGUAAUAAAAAGCUAAAUAAAAGCACAAAUAAAUUAACUAAAAGUAUUUAAAAAAACAAAAACAUUAUUACCACCAUAUUGUUUCAAUCUCAAUCUAUUCUUGAAAAAAGUCACGUUCUCCAAAGUAAGUAAUUAUCUUUUUCAGUGAGGCCUAUUUUAAUAGUUAAAUGCGCCACCUGGGGAUAUACUCACGUAUCAAUUCACUUAUUUGUCAUUAAUUCAGGUUUAAACCUGACUAUUUUUUUAAUGUGCUUUUACUUAAUCUCUUUAUUUAAUCAACUUUCUUUUUGUAUUUUAUCAGUCUUCUUCAUCCAAAAACUGCACUCUUUUCAAAGCUGUCUCUUAUUAAACUAGCCAAACGUUAUCUCAUUAUCACUUAACCAAUAAUUAUUAAUGGGGAAUUUAUUGCUUAUCACACUUAAUAAGUUGGUUCUAGUACCACUGAUUCUUGCUGGCUAUUUAAAUAUUUAUUUUAAGAUUAUCCUAUGAUCUCACUAAAACUCACUUUAUAAAUCACAAGCUUCUUCUACAUUAGAUUCUCGAACCACACUUCUCACUACUACUUUAAAGCUAACUGAAAUUCUUUAGAUUAGAAAUAGUUCUUGAGCUAAUAUUUUUCCUAUCUCUGCGAAAAACUGAUUUUCCUUUAGAAUAUCCUGGAUUUAGGCAUGUAUGGAAUCUUUACUUGCCUCCAAAUUGAUCACCAUAUCAUAUCACUUCAUUACAUUAUUGACAUAUUAAGAUGCCACAUCUGAUUGAGCUUAAGCAAACAGAGAAACUUCAUAUGCACAUCAUAACUAGCUGUAUAUUCUUCCCUUGGAAUGAAGUAUAAAAUUGCAUUGUUGUUGAUUGCAUUUGAAUGAAUUGAUCACAAAGCUGGUGGUUUUUGAAGAAAACUAGAGAAAUCUCAGUCUGCUUAUAUCAGUCAAUAUGUAAACAUAGAUUUAAAAAAAUUAAUUUCGAGCAAGUAACAUUUUUUUUUUACUUUUAAUGCAUUAAACUCUGUUACCUGUUCCACAUGUGAGACAUUAAAAAAUGUCUUAUACAAAGAACUAGUGCUAACUACUAGAUUUUUAAGUACAGAAAGUAAAUAAUAGUAUUGGUCUUGGUCUAAAGAUACUUAUCAUUUAGUUUAAAGAAAAAGCUCAGCUAUUUUAUAAUUUCCUUAAACCAUCUAACUUCAUCCUGUGGAAAUGACAGAAUCAUGUUUCUUAAUUAACUUUGCUGUUUUACAAGAACUGCUGACUCUAUAUAUAUAAUGUUGCCAAUCUUAAACAAACCUGCAAACUUAGUUAAUAAAAUAAUUUUUUUUUAAUUAUAUUCAUCACCCCAAGGUCAACGAAUCCACUACAGUCAUGGGGGCUACUCUUUUUUUCUUUGUCUUCAUUUUCUCUUAUUUUCUUUUAUCUUUUUAUUCUGCUUUUAUCUCCUUUUAUUUGAACCUUCAAAAAUUGAAUCAACUACAAUAAAGUAAUCAAUUAACCGUAAGCUUACUCAAGUAAUCAAUUAACUAAUUUAGGCUACACUAAAGUAAAUCAAUUAACCUUAAUUUACACUUAAGUAAUCAAUUAACCAUAAGCUGCACUAAAGUAACCAAUUAACCUUAAUCUACACUAAAGUAAUCAAUUAACCAUAAGCUACACUAAAGUAAUCUAUUAACCUUAAGCUUCACUAAAAUAAUCAAUCAGGAUUCCCACUAUUAGGACUAAGGCUGAAAUUAAGAAUUUUAAGGAGAUUUAAGGAGAUAUUUUUCUAAUAUUUAAGGAGAUUUGGUCACAAACAACAUUUUUUUGAAAGAAAAAGUAAGGAUAAUUAAAGGGACU
Long non-coding RNA from Hydra vulgaris (swiftwater hydra), 3891 nucleotides. RefSeq lists it as uncharacterized. NCBI's taxonomy places the organism in Eukaryota, Metazoa, Cnidaria, Hydrozoa, Anthoathecata, Hydridae. The record is from RefSeq and is a predicted model, not a curated record.